This 71-nucleotide microRNA precursor is filed under the name Echinops telfairi (small Madagascar hedgehog). RNAcentral describes it as "miRNA (ENSETEG00000023646.1)". Lineage: Eukaryota; Metazoa; Chordata; Mammalia; Afrosoricida; Tenrecidae. The record is from RNAcentral.
GUCGUGUGUGUGUGUGUGUGUGUGUGUGUGUGUGUGUGUGUGUGUGUGUCCGCGCAUGCACGCUCAUGCAC